GGGUUGUGAGGUUAAGCGACUAAGCGUACACGGUGGAUGCCCUGGCAGUCAGAGGCGAUGAAGGACGUGCUAAUCUGCGAUAAGCGUCGGUAAGGUGAUAUGAACCGUUAUAACCGGCGAUUUCCGAAUGGGGAAACCCAGUGUGUUUCGACACACUAUCAUUAACUGAAUCCAUAGGUUAAUGAGGCGAACCGGGGGAACUGAAACAUCUAAGUACCCCGAGGAAAAGAAAUCAACCGAGAUUCCCCCAGUAGCGGCGAGCGAACGGGGAGCAGCCCAGAGCCUGAAUCAGUGUGUGUGUUAGUGGAAGCGUCUGGAAAGGCGCGCGAUACAGGGUGACAGCCCCGUACACAAAAAUGCACAUAUUGUGAGCUCGAUGAGUAGGGCGGGACACGUGGUAUCCUGUCUGAAUAUGGGGGGACCAUCCUCCAAGGCUAAAUACUCCUGACUGACCGAUAGUGAACCAGUACCGUGAGGGAAAGGCGAAAAGAACCCCGGCGAGGGGAGUGAAAAAGAACCUGAAACCGUGUACGUACAAGCAGUGGGAGCCUCUUUUAUGGGGUGACUGCGUACCUUUUGUAUAAUGGGUCAGCGACUUAUAUUCUGUAGCAAGGUUAACCGAAUAGGGGAGCCGAAGGGAAACCGAGUCUUAACUGGGCGUUAAGUUGCAGGGUAUAGACCCGAAACCCGGUGAUCUAGCCAUGGGCAGGUUGAAGGUUGGGUAACACUAACUGGAGGACCGAACCGACUAAUGUUGAAAAAUUAGCGGAUGACUUGUGGCUGGGGGUGAAAGGCCAAUCAAACCGGGAGAUAGCUGGUUCUCCCCGAAAGCUAUUUAGGUAGCGCCUCGUGAAUUCAUCUCCGGGGGUAGAGCACUGUUUCGGCAAGGGGGUCAUCCCGACUUACCAACCCGAUGCAAACUGCGAAUACCGGAGAAUGUUAUCACGGGAGACACACGGCGGGUGCUAACGUCCGUCGUGAAGAGGGAAACAACCCAGACCGCCAGCUAAGGUCCCAAAGUCAUGGUUAAGUGGGAAACGAUGUGGGAAGGCCCAGACAGCCAGGAUGUUGGCUUAGAAGCAGCCAUCAUUUAAAGAAAGCGUAAUAGCUCACUGGUCGAGUCGGCCUGCGCGGAAGAUGUAACGGGGCUAAACCAUGCACCGAAGCUGCGGCAGCGACGCUUAUGCGUUGUUGGGUAGGGGAGCGUUCUGUAAGCCUGUGAAGGUGUGCUGUGAGGCAUGCUGGAGGUAUCAGAAGUGCGAAUGCUGACAUAAGUAACGAUAAAGCGGGUGAAAAGCCCGCUCGCCGGAAGACCAAGGGUUCCUGUCCAACGUUAAUCGGGGCAGGGUGAGUCGACCCCUAAGGCGAGGCCGAAAGGCGUAGUCGAUGGGAAACAGGUUAAUAUUCCUGUACUUGGUGUUACUGCGAAGGGGGGACGGAGAAGGCUAUGUUGGCCGGGCGACGGUUGUCCCGGUUUAAGCGUGUAGGCUGGUUUUCCAGGUAAAUCCGGAAAAUCAAGGCUGAGGCGUGAUGACGAGGCACUACGGUGCUGAAGCAACAAAUGCCCUGCUUCCAGGAAAAGCCUCUAAGCAUCAGGUAACAUCAAAUCGUACCCCAAACCGACACAGGUGGUCAGGUAGAGAAUACCAAGGCGCUUGAGAGAACUCGGGUGAAGGAACUAGGCAAAAUGGUGCCGUAACUUCGGGAGAAGGCACGCUGAUAUGUAGGUGAAGUCCCUCGCGGAUGGAGCUGAAAUCAGUCGAAGAUACCAGCUGGCUGCAACUGUUUAUUAAAAACACAGCACUGUGCAAACACGAAAGUGGACGUAUACGGUGUGACGCCUGCCCGGUGCCGGAAGGUUAAUUGAUGGGGUUAGCGCAAGCGAAGCUCUUGAUCGAAGCCCCGGUAAACGGCGGCCGUAACUAUAACGGUCCUAAGGUAGCGAAAUUCCUUGUCGGGUAAGUUCCGACCUGCACGAAUGGCGUAAUGAUGGCCAGGCUGUCUCCACCCGAGACUCAGUGAAAUUGAACUCGCUGUGAAGAUGCAGUGUACCCGCGGCAAGACGGAAAGACCCCGUGAACCUUUACUAUAGCUUGACACUGAACAUUGAGCCUUGAUGUGUAGGAUAGGUGGGAGGCUUAGAAGUGUGGACGCCAGUCUGCAUGGAGCCGACCUUGAAAUACCACCCUUUAAUGUUUGAUGUUCUAACGUGGACCCGUAAUCCGGGUUGCGGACAGUGUCUGGUGGGUAGUUUGACUGGGGCGGUCUCCUCCUAAAGAGUAACGGAGGAGCACGAAGGUUGGCUAAUCCUGGUCGGACAUCAGGAGGUUAGUGCAAUGGCAUAAGCCAGCUUGACUGCGAGCGUGACGGCGCGAGCAGGUGCGAAAGCAGGUCAUAGUGAUCCGGUGGUUCUGAAUGGAAGGGCUAUCGCUCAACGGAUAAAAGGUACUCCGGGGAUAACAGGCUGAUACCGCCCAAGAGUUCAUAUCGACGGCGGUGUUUGGCACCUCGAUGUCGGCUCAUCACAUCCUGGGGCUGAAGUAGGUCCCAAGGGUAUGGCUGUUCGCCAUUUAAAGUGGUACGCGAGCUGGGUUUAGAACGUCGUGAGACAGUUCGGUCCCUAUCUGCCGUGGGCGCUGGAGAACUGAGGGGGGCUGCUCCUAGUACGAGAGGACCGGAGUGGACGCAUCACUGGUGUUCGGGUUGUCAUGCCAAUGGCACUGCCCGGUAGCUAAAUGCGGAAGAGAUAAGUGCUGAAAGCAUCUAAGCACGAAACUUGCCCCGAGAUGAGUUCUCCCUGACCCUUUAAGGGUCCUGAAGGAACGUUGAAGACGACGACGUUGAUAGGCCGGGUGUGUAAGCGCAGCGAUGCGUUGAGCUAACCGGUACUAAUGAACCGUGAGGCUUAACCUUACAACGCCGAAG
RNAcentral lists this ribosomal RNA (2925 nucleotides) under Escherichia coli. RNAcentral describes it as "23S ribosomal RNA". It matches the Rfam family "Bacterial large subunit ribosomal RNA". Lineage: Bacteria; Pseudomonadati; Pseudomonadota; Gammaproteobacteria; Enterobacterales; Enterobacteriaceae. The record is from RNAcentral.